UGUUAAAAAAUUUAUCCAUUUGUACAGUAAAAAACCGACGUGACUGAUGGAAUAACCAGAUAGUGACACGUAAUGUGUCACAUAUACCUCAUGCUGACAUAUAACUAUAAAUUUUUAACAGUAAAAAUUAAUAGAAUUUUUAAUA
This 145-nucleotide microRNA precursor is filed under the name Gossypium hirsutum (cotton). RNAcentral describes it as "MIR7502 microRNA precursor family". It matches the Rfam family "MIR7502 microRNA precursor family". The record is from Rfam by way of RNAcentral. Lineage: Eukaryota; Viridiplantae; Streptophyta; Magnoliopsida; Malvales; Malvaceae.